GAAAUGCGAUAAUUAAUGUGAAUUGCAGAAUUCAGUGAAUCAUCGAGUCUUUGAACGCACAUUGCGCCCCCUGGUAUUCCGGGGGGCAUGCCUGUCCGAGCGUCAUUGCUGCCCUCAAGCACGGCUUGUGUGUUGGGCUUACGUCCCUGGCAACGGGGACGGGCCCAAAAGGCAGUGGCGGCACCAUGUCUGGUCCUCGAGCGUAUGGGGCUUUGUCACCCGCUCCCGUAGGUCCAGCUGGCAGCUAGCCUCGCAACCAAUCUUUUUAACCAGGUUGACCUCGGAUCAGGUAGGGAUACCCGCUGAACUUAAGC
This 314-nucleotide unclassified non-coding RNA is filed under the name plant metagenome. RNAcentral's name for it is "partial contains 5.8S ribosomal RNA, internal transcribed spacer 2, and large subunit ribosomal RNA". The stretch from base 1 to 105 matches the Rfam family "5.8S ribosomal RNA", at positions 50 to 154 of the family's 154-position model. The record is from RNAcentral.